Molecule: ribosomal RNA, 298 nt
Filed under: uncultured bacterium
Lineage: Bacteria
Description: partial 16S ribosomal RNA
Rfam family: Bacterial small subunit ribosomal RNA
Source: RNAcentral
UUUGGCCUACGGGACGCAGCAGUCGGGAAUAUUGCGCAAUGGAGGAAACUCUGACGCAGUGACGCCGCGUAUAGGAAGAAGGUUUUCGGAUUGUAAACUAUUGUCGUGAGGGAAGAAAUUGACAGUACCUCAGGAGGAAGCUCCGGCUAACUAUGUGCCAGCAGCCGCGGUAAUACGUAGGUGGCAAGCGUUGUCCGGAUUUAUUGGGCGUAAAGCGAGUGCAGGCGGGUCAAUAAGGCUGAUGUGAAAGCCUUCGGCUCAACCGGAGGAUUGCAUCAGAAACUGUUGAACUUGAGUG